UACGAGGGGGGCUAGCGUUGCUCGGAAUUACUGGGCGUAAAGCGCACGUAGGCGGAUUGUUAAGUCGGGGGUGAAAUCCUGGAGCUCAACUCCAGAACUGCCUUCGAUACUGGCGAUCUAGAGUCCGGGAGAGGUGAGUGGAACUGCGAGUGUAGAGGUGAAAUUCGUAGAUAUUCGCAAGAACACCAGUGGCGAAGGCGGCUCACUGGCCCGGUACUGACGCUGAGGUGCGAAAGCUAGGGGAGCGAACAGG
RNAcentral lists this ribosomal RNA (253 nucleotides) under uncultured bacterium. RNAcentral describes it as "partial 16S ribosomal RNA". It matches the Rfam family "Bacterial small subunit ribosomal RNA", at positions 524 to 776 of the family's 1533-position model. The record is from RNAcentral.